AAGCUUCCUGUCGCGUGGAUAUGAACCGUGUGUGGCCAGUGCCAUCCACCGAAAUCUACAGACAUUUUGCGUGCUCCCGGGCUCUCUGCUCCUCUGCCCAGUGCAGGGUUCCUAGAUUCCUUCUAAGGCGAACUCGUGGACCAAGAUUUAAAUUGAGAACGCUCCCAGGACCCCUGGCGCGGCGUCCGGAUCCCGGUGCCCUGUCUUCCGCUACAGCCCCUUCUCUUAUGCUUUUCCUGCCAGGCCCGUAGGCUGUGCAGCCCUCCUGGAGACCGAUGGAAGCUCCCUGGGUCGACAGAUUACAACUUCUGCACCCCCUGGGGCCCCCUACUUUCUUCAACCCCCUGGUGGGUGCCCGUUGUCCCUGGAGAGGAUGCUUGGAAAUAACAGCUUGGGUACACAGCGACCAUAAGAGGUGUCUCCAUCCUGCCAGACUGAUGGACCAUGUUGCUCCUGAGUGAGGAUUGUCACCUGGCAUCUGGAGCUCGGUAUCCUGCAAGAAUAUGUGCCGUUUUCCGGAUUGCCUUUGGGAGUGUGUGAAGGUCCAUGCCUUGUGCCGCCAGAGGACAGUACAUGGCCAGCGAGCCAUGGCCCUGAUGCACUUUUGAGCGGCCUGCACAGCAGAGCAUCGGGCUUGUCUCCAGAGUGUUCCAGGAUUGUCAGCUCAUCUUUGCUGUCUAUGUCAGCACUCCUCGCGUUGCAAGAAGUGACUGGAACAGGGGCCUUGCCAGGUGUUUGUGGACCUCAGAGGACCAGGGAGUGGACAGCAGGACCACCACUCAAAGUGAAACUGGGGACAGCCCACUCACAGCAUCCUGAAACAGCCUUUUUUUUUUUUUUAAAUAAUGUUUGGUAAUCAGCUCAGGCAUGGGAGACUCCAGCAUACAAUGAUUCGACACUAACAGACACCUCAGAGGUGUCUCCAUGUCCAUCUGCAGUGCCUGAAUGACAAGAGCUUUUUUGUUGAACUUGUUGCCAACUUUCUGUUACUCUGUCCCCCGUUUCCCGUCCCCACCACACAUACAUUGUUUAAUAAACCUUACAGAUUGACUCA
Molecule: non-coding RNA, 1054 nt
Organism: Myodes glareolus (Bank vole)
Lineage: Eukaryota; Metazoa; Chordata; Mammalia; Rodentia; Cricetidae
Source: RefSeq, a predicted model, not a curated record